Long non-coding RNA from Hyla sarda, 294 nucleotides. RefSeq lists it as uncharacterized. NCBI's taxonomy places the organism in Eukaryota, Metazoa, Chordata, Amphibia, Anura, Hylidae. The transcript has 3 exons. The record is from RefSeq and is a predicted model, not a curated record.
AAAUAAAAGCUUCACUGAUUGGUUGCUGGAGCUCAGCUUUUAUUUCUGAUUCUGUUGUGGUAAAAUGAAAGCAGCGCUACAAUUGGUUGCCAUUUCUUACACUGCUGAGAAUCUAGUCAGUGAGUCUGCCAUCUUGUGGUCAUCAUCUGGAGAUGCUACUCACAUGAGGGACACUACUUACCGGUCUGCCACCUAGUGGGUUAUAUCCUGGAAUGUCUUUGGUGACUUCUAUUAUGUUCUGCUCUUGGGAGAUUCUUUCACACUGGUCCGAUAUACAGGAGCACUCAGAUAUGG